This 279-nucleotide ribosomal RNA is filed under the name uncultured bacterium. RNAcentral describes it as "partial 16S ribosomal RNA". It matches the Rfam family "Bacterial small subunit ribosomal RNA", at positions 506 to 784 of the family's 1533-position model. The record is from RNAcentral.
UGCCAGCCGCCGCGGUAAUACGAGGGGUGCAAGCGUUGUUCGGAAUUAUUGGGCGUAAAGCGCGUGUAGGCGGUUCGUUAAGUCUGAUGUGAAAGCCCGGGGCUCAACCCCGGAAGUGCAUUGGAAACUGGCGAACUUGAGUACGGGAGAGGAAGGUGGAAUUCCGAGUGUAGGGGUGAAAUCCGUAGAUAUUCGGAGGAACACCAGUGGCGAAGGCGACUUACUGGACGAUGACUGACGCUGAGACGCGAAAGCGUGGGUAGCAAACAGGAUUAGAUA